This 547-nucleotide ribosomal RNA is filed under the name uncultured bacterium. RNAcentral's name for it is "partial 16S ribosomal RNA". It matches the Rfam family "Bacterial small subunit ribosomal RNA", at positions 355 to 895 of the family's 1533-position model. The record is from RNAcentral.
UGGGGAAUUUUGGACAAUGGGCGAAAGCCUGAUCCAGCAAUGCCGCGUGUGUGAAGAAGGCCUUCGGGUUGUAAAGCACUUUUGUCCGGAAAGAAAUCCUUGGCUCUAAUACAGUCGGGGGAUGACGGUACCGGAAGAAUAAGCACCGGCUAACUACGUGCCAGCAGCCGCGGUAAUACGUAGGGUGCAAGCGUUAAUCGGAAUUACUGGGCGUAAAGCGUGCGCAGGCGGUUUGCUAAGACCGAUGUGAAAUCCCCGGGCUCAACCUGGGAACUGCAUUGGUGACUGGCAGGCUAGAGUAUGGCAGAGGGGGGUAGAAUUCCACGUGUAGCAGUGAAAUGCGUAGAGAUGUGGAGGAAUACCGAUGGCGAAGGCAGCCCCCUGGCAAGUACUGACGCUCAUGCACGAAAGCGUGGGGAGCAAAACAGGAUUAGAUACCCUGGUAGUCCACGCCCUAAACGAUGUCAACUAGUUGUUGGGGAUUCAUUUCCUUAGUAACGUAGCUAACGCGUGAAGUUGACCGCCUGGGGAGUACGGUCGCAAGAUU